UGGGCCCAGAUCCCAAGCAUCACUGGGACCCCAGGUCCUGAGCCUCCCGAGUGUCACUGGCCCCAGGUCGUGAGCAUCCCAAGGGUCGCUGCCCCAGGUCAUGAGUGUCACUGGGCCACAGGUCCUGAGCAUCCCAAGGGUCGCUGCCCCAGGUCAUGAGUGUCGCUGGGUCCCAGGUCAUGAGCAUUCCAAGGGUCGCUGCCCCAGGUCAUGAGUGUCGCUGGGCCACAGGUCCUGAGCAUCCCAACGGUCGCUGGGCCCAGAUCCCAAGCAUCACUGGGACCCCAGGUCCUGAGCCUCCCGAGCGUCACUGGCCCCAGGUCGUGAGCAUUGCUGCCCCAGGUCGUGAGCAUCGCUGCCGACCUCUGCUUGCUCGUCCCUGCAGUUUGGUCUCCUACCUGCUUCACUAACUUCUUGCUUGAUUCUUCCUGGGGACCCUCUCGCACACUGUAGGAUUUUAGCAGCAUCCUGGCCCCUAGACUCUAGAUGUCACUACCCCAGCCCCACCACCUCACAGGUUUGGCAACCCAUACCAUCUCCAGAUAUUGCCAAAUGCCCCCUGCGUGCAAAACCUCCCACGGAGACCCUUGUUCUAGAAGGACCUCGCAUGGUAAGUUGGUGAGCAUAGUGUGCUGAGCAUGCCUUCCUUCACCAGCGAGUCACUGGGGCCACCAUGGGCCUAACAUCCAGCAGGGGAGACAGGAGGAGCACAGGCGGCCCCAGCCCCUGGGGGAAGGUGUCCUCCUGGGGCUUGGGGCCGACACCGGGGCCGGGGCUGGGCCUGGCUGGAGGGUGGAUGGCAGUCUCUCAGGUGUGCCAUCCCACCUGCUCCUCAUCCUGGAAGGGCCAAGGGGCUCUACCGGCAGAAUGAGGGGCCAUAGCGCUCUGUGUAGCCACCUCUGUGCUCACAAAAGCAGGCUUUCCUGCUGCCUAAAGCUCUCUGGUGUGGAGCUGAGCUCCGGAGCCCCGAACAGCAUCAGGUGGUGGAGAACACUGACCUAUCGUCGCAUUUCUUCUCCAGCCGGGACACGUUUCAGGAGGAAUGUCAAGUGACUGUGGGGAGGGGAGUGACCUCUUCCGCCUGUUGCUUUGCACAUUGCACUCUUUGGUCAGAGAGUUAGAAAUGUCACUGGUUGUAGGGAUGGAAUUGUCACCUCUGGUGAGGUCUCAUCUGCAGGCGCCCACACAGCUGGAACUGAGAGCGGCCUGGUGAACCCGCAGGGCGGGCGGGGGCCCCGACCCCUUGAACGUGCUGACAGCCGAGGGAUCCAUUUGGAGAAGCCCUGGACUGGGUUCAAGCCCCCGCGACCUGGAGGACUGCCAAGCACCUGUGCCCAGGUCCGCUUCCCUAAAACUGGGCCACUGCAGCGGUGCAUGCAGGACGCGCAGCUGUCAAGAGCCACAGAACUCAUACAGGACUGGACAGUCACAGCCUCCCGUUGGAAGACUGCUGCAUGAGCUCACCGAUUGAGCAGCCGCGCAGCCAACGCGGUCUACUUGGUUUUUCUCAUGAGCCUAAAACAGUACCUCUGGAUUCCUGAAGGUCUCUGAAGCAGGAAUUUCCAGAUUUCCCUCCUCCUGAUGAGCCACCAGCCAGCCAUGGGGUGAGGCCACAGCAGCAGAACAGGUUCCUAGGCCUUUGCCCAGCUCCUGGGGAGGUCUGUGCUUCAGCGAAGCUCAAGGCCUGCUGGGCACCUGUGUGCCUGGCACAGUGGGGCUGCUGACCCUCCUGACCCGGCAGUGAAAUGUCCCCAUAAAUGGGUCCUCGGUGCCUGUGGUGUCAGGCUCUGAGGGGGCUUGUUAGGUUUGGGCCUGGGGUGGGCAUGGCUGUCUGAGGCUGCCCAGUGACCAGCUGCCACACGCCACCUGCUAGGGCCUGGUCAAGGGCAAAGCAACCCCCAUGGGAUCGAUUUUGAACCAGAAGGGUCCUUGCCAGCAGGCAUGUGGGGUCUUCCUGGCAGUAAGGGCAUCUUGGAAUGUGCCCAUCCUCAGAUGGCUGGGGUCACGUCCCAGUGAGCAUUUCUCCAGUUAAAACCAGCAGGAGGCCACAGCGGUACUGCCCCCCACGCACAGCUGGAAGGAGCUGGGCAUCCUGGCAUCCGGAGCAACACUUGGGGACUUCCCACACGCACUGUCCUCCAACAGCAGAGGGGGUGCGGAAGGUGCAGGACCCGGACCUGCUGGAGUCACAAAGACGAGGAGGGACUUUGCGGAGGGACACUGCCUGCCCCCCGCCACCCCCAGGUGACAGCAGCCAAGGGGCCAGGUGCCUUCCACGGGCUCUGUCAUGGGAGCAGCGGUGCCAGCAGCCCCAGCACAACUCAGCAGGGUGGACACUGUGGGGAGGGCAGGAUGCUCGCCCAGGGGGCCACCCGCCCCACCCCAUGGUCCACGCCGGAGAGUGUGGGGAGGGACAAGGCUGUGGCCCAAGGUCAGGCCAGCAUCAAGCUUCACUGGUCACGUGUCUUCAUCAAAAAACGUCUACCAGGUGCCACCUGGCCUCGUUUGUACGAUGCGUUCCCGGGCUGCAGCCCCUGCGCAGGGCGGGCCUCGGGAGGCAGACCCACGGCACCGGGCAGCGGCCGUCAGGGCACCCGCAUGUCCUGGGACGGGCGCAGGACACGGCCCCGCCCGCUCGGGGUCACACGGGCCGUGGGGCCAGGUCUGUUUCGGUUGAGUCUGGGUGACUAGGAAAGUGGCUGGUGCCUCGAUUCUCAGGGCAACCUCAGCUUCGAGCCUCAUCCCUGGUGGGUGACCGAAGCCUGGCCCCGCAGGCCCGACUCAGGCCGCGUGGGGCCUGUCUCCCCAGCGUGCUCCCCGAGGACGAGCCCGCGUAGGCGCUUUUAUUCCCUGCCCAGGCCUAAGGUUAUCGGGCAUGCAUUGGCGGUCGCUCCUGUCAUCUGAACCUGCUCACCCAAGAGUCAGCCGCCCCCGGAACCAGACACUCCCGGAAAAUGUCAGGACCCGGCCCAUCCCCCUCCGCGCCUUGCCCCCUGUCACCCGCAACUGCGGCAGCCACAUGUAAUUAGACGUGAACCGAGCGAGCCAGCUCCACCCGGUAACCGGCACCUGAACGCCUCCCUACCCUAACUUCCCGUGGGGGGGGGGGGGCGUGGGCGGCCGUUAGGAACCGAGGGGCUCCCCACCCUGGCCCCCGGGGCCACG
Molecule: long non-coding RNA, 3165 nt
Organism: Canis lupus familiaris (dog)
Lineage: Eukaryota; Metazoa; Chordata; Mammalia; Carnivora; Canidae
Exons: 4
Source: RefSeq, a predicted model, not a curated record